RNAcentral lists this ribosomal RNA (428 nucleotides) under uncultured bacterium. Its description in RNAcentral is "bacterial SSU rRNA". It matches the Rfam family "Bacterial small subunit ribosomal RNA", at positions 917 to 1341 of the family's 1533-position model. The record is from RNAcentral.
GGGCCCGCACAAGCGGUGGAGUAUGUGGUUUAAUUCGACGCAACGCGCAGAACCUUACCCGGCCUUGACAUCCUUGGAAUCCUUCCGAAAAGAAGGAGUGUCCCCUCACGGGGAAGCCAAGUGACAGGUGCUGCAUGGCUGUCGUCAGCUCGUGUCGUGAGAUGUUCGGUUAAGUCCGGCAACGAGCGCAACCCCUGUCGUUAGUUGCCAUCAAUUCGGUUGGCACUCUAGCGAGACUCCCGGUGUUAAACCGGCGGAAGAUGGGGAUGACGUCAAGUCCUCAUGGCCCUUAUGACUGGGGCUACACACGUACUACAAUGGCAUCUACAAAGGGUCGCGAGAUCGCGAGAUGGAGCCAAUCCCAAAAAGAUGCCUCAGUUCGGAUUGUAGUCUGCAACUCGACUACAUGAAGUUGGAAUCGCUAGUAA